ACUGGGUUUUGUUUUCAAAAACCUUGGUAAAAAGUAGAUAAUAGGCUUAAAUUUCAAAAACCAAACACCAAAAACCAAUAGUUACCUACUGAUGCCUAUAUUAUUUUGUUAUUCUGUGUUCAAUGACUCUUCUAUAUAAUUCUUGAAUAUGAAAACAAAUGUGGUAUGUGAUUGUUCACUUUAGUUGUAACAUUCUUAGUACCAAUUAAUAGAAGUUUUUGAGGGAGAUGGAGCAGAAGCACAUGAAGGAGACAUGGUGGAGUUCAAUUAUGUCUGCAGGCGUUCAAAUGGAUAUUUUGUUCAUAGCACCGUUGAUCAAUUCAGUGGAGAAAGCACACCAGUAAUCCUGCCUUUGAAAGAAAAACAGG
Long non-coding RNA from Cucumis melo (muskmelon), 368 nucleotides. RefSeq lists it as uncharacterized. Lineage: Eukaryota; Viridiplantae; Streptophyta; Magnoliopsida; Cucurbitales; Cucurbitaceae. The record is from RefSeq and is a predicted model, not a curated record. The transcript has 2 exons.